AGUGCCUUUUAUUUUCCUCUUAGUACUUGAAGAAUCUCCUCUUGAAAGAUAAUAACAUGAGGAUAGAAGGUAUGAGACUAAUUUGUGGUUUGAUUGUGGUGAUUGUGUUGCUGAAUUUAAAGAAAGGUGAGAGCAGAAAAUCAAAGAGUGGUUCUAGAAGCAAUUCAUUUGUAAACUGCAGAGCACACAGUGCAUCAUUGGCUGAUUAUGGAGGAGUUGGUGAUGGAAAAACAUCAAACACAAAGGCAUUUGAAAAUGCAAUCAGAAACCUGAGUCAGUAUGAAGAGUUGGUGAUGGAAAAACAUUAAACACAAAGGCAUUUGAAAAUGCAAUCAGAAACCUGAGUCAGUAUGAAGAGUUGGUGAUGGAAAAACAUUAAACACAAAGGCAUUUGAAAAUGCAAUCAGAAACCUGAGUCAGUAUGAAUCAAAAGGUGGUGCUCAGCCCUGUUCCUGCUGGCAAAUGGCUCACGGGAAGCUUCAAUCUCAUUGGAGUUCUAAGAAAAAAAAUUAAUUUGCAUAUAUACAACUACUUUGAUACUUUGUUUUUGAAAUAUAACAUUUCAAUUAUGUC
Arachis ipaensis is the source of this 573-nucleotide non-coding RNA. The record is from RefSeq and is a predicted model, not a curated record. NCBI's taxonomy places the organism in Eukaryota, Viridiplantae, Streptophyta, Magnoliopsida, Fabales, Fabaceae.